RNAcentral lists this ribosomal RNA (903 nucleotides) under Conopeum sp. n. JS-2019. RNAcentral's name for it is "SSU rRNA". It matches the Rfam family "Eukaryotic small subunit ribosomal RNA", at positions 242 to 1134 of the family's 1831-position model. The record is from RNAcentral. Lineage: Eukaryota; Metazoa; Bryozoa; Gymnolaemata; Cheilostomatida; Electridae.
GUGGACGACACCCGAGUAAUUGCCGCCGAUCGCACGGCCUAGAGCCGGCGACGCCUCUAUUGAGUUUCUGAUCUAUCAUGCUGACGACGGUUGGUGCUAUGCCAACCGCGGCGUUAACGGAUAACAGAGAAUCUGGGUUCGAUUCUGGAGAGGCCGCAUGAGAAACGGCGACCACUUCCAAGGAAGGCAGCAGGCACGCAAAUUACCCACUUCGGACACCGAGAGGUAGUGACGAAUAAUACCGAUGCGGCGCACUUACGUGUCGCCGUAAUCGGAAUGAGUACACUUGAAAUCCUUUAACGAGGAUCCACUGGAGGGCAAGCCUGGUGCCAGCAGCCGCGGUAAUUCCAGCUCCAGCAGCGUAUAUUUAUAUUGCUGCGUUUAAAAAGCUCGUAGUUGAAGCGUCAGACACGGGAGGGCGGACGGCCGCACUGGUCGCUCUCGCCCGACCGGGCCAGGCGCAGAGGGUGUCCGUCGCUUGCACUUCGCCGUGUGAGCGCGGCGCCGCUGCACGUUCACCUUGAAGAAAUUGAACCGCUCAGAGGAGGCGUGCAGCUCGAACAGCUCAGCAUGGUAUGAUGGAACAUGGGCUCGUACACGUUUUGUUGGUUCUAGUGUUGGCGAGCCAAUGAUUAAGAGGGACUGCCGGGGGCAUUAGUACUCGCACGGGAGAGGUGAAAUUCAAGGAUCGUGCGAAGACUUCCUACUGCGAAAGCAUUUGCCAAGAAUGUUUUCAUUAAUCAAGAACGAAAGUCAGAGGUGCGAAGGCGAUCAGAUACCGCCGUAGUUCUGACCGUAAACGAUGCCGACUGGCAAUUGGGCGCACUUCUGACGAAGUUGCCGCCAGCAGUAUUACUCCUGGGAAACCAAAGUCAUUGGGUUCCGGGGGGAGUAUGGUUGCAA